GACGUAGGGCGCGAGCGUUGUCCGGAUUUAUUGGUCGUAAAGCGCUCGCAGGUGGUUCGUUGCGUCGUGCGUGAAAGACCCCGGCUCAACUGGGGAGUGUCGUGCGAUACGGGCGGACUGGAGGCCAGUAGGGGGAUGCGGAAUUCCGGGUGUAGUGGUGGAAUGCGUAGAGAUCCGGAGGAACACCAGCGGCGAAGGCGGCAUCCUGGACUGGUCCUGACACUCAGGAGCGAAAGCGUGGGGAGCGAUCCGG
RNAcentral lists this ribosomal RNA (253 nucleotides) under uncultured bacterium. RNAcentral's name for it is "partial 16S ribosomal RNA". It matches the Rfam family "Bacterial small subunit ribosomal RNA", at positions 524 to 776 of the family's 1533-position model. The record is from RNAcentral.